UACGUAGGGUGCGAGCGUUGUCCGGAAUUAUUGGGCGUAAAGAGCUCGUAGGCGGCCUGUCGCGUCGGUUGUGAAAGCCCGGGGCUUAACCCCGGGUCUGCAGUCGAUACGGGCAGGCUAGAGUUCGGUAGGGGAGAUCGGAAUUCCUGGUGUAGCGGUGAAAUGCGCAGAUAUCAGGAGGAACACCAAUGGCGAAGGCAGCUCGCUGGGACGGUACUGACGCUGAGGCGCGAAAGCGUGGGGAGCAAACGGG
Molecule: ribosomal RNA, 253 nt
Filed under: uncultured bacterium
Lineage: Bacteria
Description: partial 16S ribosomal RNA
Rfam family: Bacterial small subunit ribosomal RNA
Source: RNAcentral